RNAcentral lists this long non-coding RNA (2919 nucleotides) under Salmo salar (Atlantic salmon). Its description in RNAcentral is "lncRNA (ENSSSAG00000091464.1, ENSSSAG00000093365.1)". The record is from RNAcentral. Lineage: Eukaryota; Metazoa; Chordata; Actinopteri; Salmoniformes; Salmonidae.
CUCCCCAAGCCUUGCACCGGGAACCCCCUUCAGCCAGUUGGGCUCACACAUCGGCCAUGGUAGCAGUGUUGGGAAGCCCCCCAACACCUCCCACCCCCACCCAGGCCGCGCCAAGUCUAGGACAGACAGCAACACAGGAGCCACCGAGGACCAGGGCCACAGGCAAAAAGACAGCAGCACAAAGGUAAGUCUGCCUCUGCUACACAGCCUUACAUACACUCCCCUACAUACAGUAUUUAUUUGGAGAGUGAAGCUAAAACCUUUAAUUUGGCUCUAUACUCCAGCAUUCUGGAUUGGAGAUUCAUUGUUUUGUAUGAGGAGAAAGUACAGAAUGUCACUUUUUAUUUGAGCGUAUUUUCAUACAUAUCUAUUAUAUCGUUUAGAAAUGAAAGCACUUUAUGUAUCUAGUCCCCCCAUUUGAAGGUGUCUUUGGUUAAAUUAAUUUAUAGUGUAUUAAAGUAGUCAAACGUUUAGUAUUUGGUCCCAUAUUCCUAGCACACAAUGACUACAUCAAGCUUGUGACUCUACAAACUUGUUAGAUGCAUUUGCAGUUUGUUUUAGAUGCAUUUCGGGUUAUGUUGUGCUUAAUAUAAAUUAAUGGUAAAUAAGGUAUCGUCAUUUUGGAGUAACUUUUAUUUUAAAUAAGAAUAGAAUAUGUUUCUGAACACACACAAAGAUCAUGCCCCUCAAAGCAUGCUAACCUGUCACCAUUACCAAUAACAGGAGAGGUUAGCAUUUUAUAUCAUACCCCCAAGACAUGCUAACCUGUCACCAUUACCAAUAACAGGAGAGGUUAGCAUUUUGGGGGGUAUGAUCUUUGUUCCUCUAUAACUUUCUCACCCAGCAUUAUUCACAAUUCGUAUAAGUGAAUUUGUCCAAAUACUUAUGAAAAAUAACAUAUUCAAAUGGGGGACUACAUACAUAAAGUUAUUUCAUUUCUAAAACACAUACUGUAUGAAAAAAAACUCAAAUAAAAUGUGACAUUCUGUACUGUCACCUCAUAUAAAACAUUUGAUCUCAAAUCCAAAAUGGUGGAGUAUAGAGCCAAAUGUACAUAUUUUAGCUUCACUGUCCAAUUACAUACUUAGGGGAGUGUACAUCUUUAGAGACAGGGUUCACUCCCCCAAAGUGGAAAAUAUACCAGUCAACUGUGGACUGUGUGACAUAUUGUAUGGUCAAGUGAUACCCUGAUAGAUGCUCAUAGGUAGAAGUCUUGAUGUGGCGGACGGGCAGGCGAUCAACAGAGUACAAGAUUGAAGGUGACUGAUAGAGAGUUCUUUGUCACCUGUCAUCUUCUCCUGUCUGUGCUGGAGGCUGAGGGCUGGAUGACCUGGGGUCAGGGUGUGUUUGUCUGCCAGGCGCGUCUGUGGCAGCACCACGGUGACAUGUCUGUUGUGUCAUGAUGACAGACAGCAGGCUAAACUGGCACUGAGCUGAUGAACAGCCAGGAGAUGAGAUGAUGGUUCUCACUGGGACACAGAAUCAGUGUCACUCCAGUGUUACUCUUGGUACUGGUUGGUUUCAACCUUAAGGCUGCUGCCGUUGUCAGCAAGAUGAUGGUUUAUUGAGUUAGUGCGGGCGGGAGUGCAUUAGGCUUCUUCAGUGAAUACUUUACCUUGUGUUAGGUGACACAACAACUCAUCUGAAUGUGGUGUGGCCAGACGAGCACCACUAGCAAUGAUCUAAUUUCUAUAUUCUUGUGGUUUUAUAUAACAAUCAUUGUCAGGGUGGAGGUAUAACUGAAGUUGUAAUCAUUGUCAGGGUGGAGGUAUAACUGAAGUUGUAAUCCUGUCAGGGUGGAGGUAUAACUGAAGUUGUAAUCCUGUCAGGGUGGAGGUAUAACUGAAGUUGUAAUCAUUGUCAGGGUGGAGGUAUAACUGAAGUUGAAAUCAUUGUCAGGCUAGACAAGCAGCAUUUACAGUCUCUGUUGUCCUUUUACUUUGGUCAUGGAAACAAUGUGGUCACUUUUCACCUCUGCUAUUUCAAUAUGUGUGUGUUUACAUUAAGGAAAGUGAAAGAGGUCAAGGUUGAGGGCUGAUUAAUCUAAUAAAUUAAUCUAAUAAAUAAAUCUAAUAAAGUACUAUCACCUGACACAUAAUGGAGUGAACAAUGGCAGACACUUUCUACUGGUGGGAAUGUUCUAUUACUCUGUUCCUUCACAACAAGUGGCUAGCAAUACAGCCUGAAUCUAAUCACCAUGGAAACUAAAAAGAAUGUGUCGUCUGCUUUAUAUUACCUCAACAUGCUUAGCAAUUCUAUUAACUGUCUAAAUUUAGUUCAAGAUGUAUCUGUUGUUUUCCUCUUUUGCUCCUUUAACUUUGAUACAGGCCUGGUGUUUAGCUGUUUCCUGUAAAUCAGUGGUGUGAUCCUGAUUAAUGCAGCACUUCAUCGUGUCGGUUAGGUGGUUGAUAUUAGGCAGCUACACAACAGAACGACAGAUGCAUCCAUACACUGCUUCGGUGUCAUAAGCAGACGGUUCUAUAAACAAGGAUGAUAUUCAUUAACAUUGUGACAGUCUACAAAAUGUGUACACAAAUAAAUGCAACGCUGUAGCGUCUUCUGACAUGAAGUUAUCUUUCAUCAGGGUAUGAAAAGGGAAAUGUGAACACAACUCCACCCCCCUUAACUUAUUUAUACAAUCAGUCAUUUCUGGUAGAAUUGUCUUUGGAAAAACAAUGGUAUUUUCCACCAUAUCUGUGUGUUAAUGCAGAAUGUCAUAUCAGUGUAUGGAUGGAUGGUAUAGAUAGAUAGAUUAAAAUGAGGGGAGGGAGGGAGAGGAAACUGUCUGGAAGCCAUCAAACCACAGAGCCUUUUCACAUGACCCCGUAAUGGCCCUGGCUCUCUGGCCUGUCCUCUGUUUCACUCUCCUCCUCCCCAGGGGACCCCCGUUCCCAGGGUCCCUCUCACAUGUACACCAGG